UAAUACGGAGGGUGCAAGCGUUAUCCGGAUUUAUUGGGUUUAAAGGGUCCGCAGGCGGAACUUUAAGUCAGUGGUGAAAGCCUACAGCUUAACUGUAGAACUGCCAUUGAAACUGAAGUUCUUGAGUGUGGUUGAAGUGGGCGGAAUAUGUCAUGUAGCGGUGAAGUGCAUAGAUAUGACAUGGAACACCUAUUGCGAAAGCAGCUCACUAAACCAUUACUGACGCUCAUGGACGAAAGUGUGGGUAGCGAACAGGAUUAGAUACCCUGGUAGUCCACACCGUAAACUAUGAUCACUAGAUGUUGGCGAUAUAAUGUCAGUGUCAAAGAGAAAUCGUUAAGUGAUCCACCUGGGAAGUACGUUCGCAAGAAUG
This 373-nucleotide ribosomal RNA is filed under the name uncultured Bacteroidota bacterium. RNAcentral's name for it is "bacterial SSU rRNA". It matches the Rfam family "Bacterial small subunit ribosomal RNA", at positions 521 to 896 of the family's 1533-position model. Lineage: Bacteria; Pseudomonadati; Bacteroidota. The record is from RNAcentral.